RNAcentral lists this long non-coding RNA (1473 nucleotides) under Homo sapiens (human). Its description in RNAcentral is "HSALNT0307699". The record is from RNAcentral. Lineage: Eukaryota; Metazoa; Chordata; Mammalia; Primates; Hominidae.
UGGGUACAGAGCAAGACUCUGUCUUGGGGGAAAAAAAAAAGUAAGAGAUGGUGAUUGGUUGGAUAUGGGAGAUAAAGGAAAGAUUUAAGUUUAACUUCUGACUUCUUAUGGCUGAAUACUACCCACUGAAUGAAGAUCUGUUUAGGGAAAAGAUAAAGGGUUCUGACUUGGACAUAUCUAGUUCAAGGUUCCUAGAUCAUAUCUUAGUGAAUAUACCCUGCAUAAAACUCAUGGGUAAUGUCUAGAUUGGAGAAAAAAUAGGAGAAAAAUCAUCAGAUCACCCAAAGAAAGUGUGCAGAAUAAGUAAAGUUGUGGACCAAGGAUUAAAACCUUGGGGAAUUCUAACAUCAAGAAUGAAAGCACACACGGAAAAAGAAUCUAAGCUUCAUGAAGGUGGAUUUUUGUUCAUUUUAUUUACUGUUAUGGCUCCAGCUGUUCUUACUAUAUGAUGACUUCUGGAGUGAUCAGAAAAUUUUCCAGUCCAUAAACUUGCCUAUUGGAGGGGAAGGAAAAGAAGGGCCCUGCAUUCUAAGAUUUCAUAUUGGUAGGGAUGAUACUGGCUUUUUAUUUGCCAGUUCUACAUAAACAGCUAUCAGAUUAUUAUAAAUUUAAGCAUGCUAUUGUCUACAUCUAGAUGUAUUGAACUAAAAGGAAGACACCAGUAAAAAGAAGUGGAGUCAUAUUUCUUACCUCUUUGUGCUUCGUAAGAGGUGCAGAAACACAAGAGAUCCAUGGAACAUUGUCUUUCAACACUUAUACCUUUUGAUAAUAACACAUUUAUUUUGAUUAAUUUUAAUAACUCACAUGUUCAGAUGAAGACAAUAUCAAAACUUGAAAUUUUAAGCUCAGCCUAACAUAUUGAUUACAAAGUCAUCAAUCUGAAACAAUCAGAAUUAUAGAAGUCACCAUAGUGGCUUAGGCAAUGAUAUGUUUAAAAUGGCAUGUGGCUAAUGAUAUAAUGGCAUAUCUUCAUUAAUAUUUGGUAGCAACUGGAUUGCCACAAAAACAUGUGAGGACCCUUUUUCUGUUGUAUUGUCAUUCUUUUACACCGGAAAAAUUACUCUGCUGUUUUCUAAGAGUCAAUCCUGGAGUGACGUGAGUAGCAGAAUGCCAAGUCUAUGAGUCACGUGAUAACUACUGGACAUGCACAUGAGAAUAUGACGAGGAUGGUGCCUUAGAAUGGGGAUUCUCAAUCUGAGGUAACAAUGGGAACAAUUACCAUAUAACUAUUCAAGUGUUUAACUAGCCAGUAUUUUAAAAAAUACCUACUACAUCCUCAGCAUAGUCACUGAAGAAAACUAGGGAUCCAAGAAAAUCAUACCAUUUAAAAAUAAUUGGUAAGUAUGCUAUUUAGCAUGAAAAAUUAGUUUGGACACAUUAAAUGUUCUAGCAAUUUAGAGGAGAGGUUUAGCGGGCAGAAUUCGAGGAGGAGCUGGAGUAAGGGGAGUAUUGCGGGGUGUAUGGUCACUAAGA